Molecule: ribosomal RNA, 431 nt
Filed under: uncultured bacterium
Lineage: Bacteria
Description: bacterial SSU rRNA
Rfam family: Bacterial small subunit ribosomal RNA
Source: RNAcentral
ACUCCUACGGGAGGCAGCAGUGGGGAAUAUUGCACAAUGGGCGCAAGCCUGAUGCAGCCAUGCCGCGUGUAUGAAGAAGGCCUUCGGGUUGUAAAGUACUUUCAGCAGUGAGGAAGGCGGGUACGUUAAUAGCGUGCUUGUUUGACGUUAGCUGCAGAAGAAGCACCGGCUAACUCCGUGCCAGCAGCCGCGGUAAUACGGAGGGUGCGAGCGUUAAUCGGAAUUACUGGGCGUAAAGCGCAUGCAGGUGGUUUGUUAAGUCAGAUGUGAAAGCCCGGGGCUCAACCUCGGAAUUGCAUUUGAAACUGGCAGACUAGAGUACUGUAGAGGGGGGUAGAAUUUCAGGUGUAGCGGUGAAAUGCGUAGAGAUCUGAAGGAAUACCGGUGGCGAAGGCGGCCCCCUGGACAGAUACUGACACUCAGAUGCGAAA